This 459-nucleotide ribosomal RNA is filed under the name uncultured bacterium. RNAcentral's name for it is "partial 16S ribosomal RNA". It matches the Rfam family "Bacterial small subunit ribosomal RNA", at positions 338 to 795 of the family's 1533-position model. The record is from RNAcentral.
CCUACGGGAGGCAGCAGUGAGGAAUAUUGGUCAAUGGACGAGAGUCUGAACCAGCCAAGUAGCGUGAAGGAUGACUGCCCUAUGGGUUGUAAACUUCUUUUAUAUGGGAAUAAAAUGUUCCACGUGUGGGGUUUGUAUGUACCAUAUGAAUAAGCAUCGGCUAACUCCGUGCCAGCAGCCGCGGUAAUACGGAGGAUCCGAGCGUUAUCCGGAUUUAUUGGGUUUAAAGGGAGCGUAGGUGGAUUGUUAAGUCAGUUGUGAAAGUUUGCGGCUCAACCGUAAAAUUGCAGUUGAAACUGGCAGUCUUGAGUACAGGAGAGGUGGGCGGAAUUCGCGGUGUAGCGGUGAAAUGCUUAGAUAUCACGAAGAACUCCGAUUGCGAAGGCAGCUCACUGGACUGCAACUGACACUGAGGCUCGAAAGUGUGGGUAUCAAACAGGAUUAGAUACCCGGGUAGUC